This 292-nucleotide ribosomal RNA is filed under the name uncultured bacterium. RNAcentral's name for it is "partial 16S ribosomal RNA". It matches the Rfam family "Bacterial small subunit ribosomal RNA", at positions 505 to 796 of the family's 1533-position model. The record is from RNAcentral.
GUGCCAGCCGCCGCGGUAAUACGUAGGGUGCGAGCGUUAAUCGGAAUUACUGGGCGUAAAGCGUGCGCAGGCGGUUCGUUAAGUCAGAUGUGAAAGCCCCGGGCUCAACCUGGGAACUGCAUUUGAAACUGGCGGGCUUGAGUGUGGCAGAGGGGGGUGGAAUUCCGCGUGUAGCAGUGAAAUGCGUAGAGAUGCGGAGGAACACCGAUGGCGAAGGCAGCCCCCUGGGCCAACACUGACGCUCAGGCACGAAAGCGUGGGGAGCAAACAGGAUUAGAUACCCCAGUAGUCC